GGAAUGCUGCUAGAAACAGAUGUGUCGGUAGAUACUCUUGCGAGAACAUCUUUGCUUUCUUAUUAGGAACUUUUGCAUAAUCUAUAAUAUCGAUAUUAAAAAGCUCAAGAAAUCAAAAUAUAUAGAGAAAUAAAGGAAAGACAAAGAAAACGAGCAUUCGUAUAUAAGCUAUUCGAUAAUUCAAAGUUGCUACUAUUCGGAAAGAGACGAAGAACAACCCAAUCAUCGCACUCAAGGAAGACUACAAAUUUCUUUUCGUUUUCCUUUCGAAAGAUUAAACUUUCACUUUUUCUUUUUUUCCACGGAAAAACUUUCUACCUUUUCCCAAUUUUAUUUUGCUCGCAUACCUUUCCUUUACAAAUAUGAAACACCUUCCAGUGGCACUGAUUGCAACCACCCUGAUUUCUCUCCUUAUUUUCACGAAUUUCGUUGAUCCCGUGCUCUCUCAGACUGAUGAAUCUCCCACCACGGAAUCCUCAAAUGAUACGAAACCGGAAGGAUCGGUUUUCCAAAUCAUACAGGAAAACGAUGUCCGUCUGGUCAACGACAGGACUCGAAUGGUAUUUGCAGGACCGUCGUUCCGAUCUAAUUAUUGUUAUUCCUUUCUUUUUUAUUUCUUUUUCUCUUAACAUUUUUACCAAGAAAGGAUAAAUAAUGUCUUUGAAUAAUUCCACUUUCUUCAUUUAUAACAAAUAUAUACGCUUUUCUGAAUAAACAAAAUUUAUUUGAA
This is a long non-coding RNA of Vespula vulgaris, 730 nucleotides long. RefSeq lists it as uncharacterized. The record is from RefSeq and is a predicted model, not a curated record. The transcript is spliced from 2 exons. Lineage: Eukaryota; Metazoa; Arthropoda; Insecta; Hymenoptera; Vespidae.